AGAAUCAACGCUGGCGGCGUGCCUAGCACAUGCAAGUCGAACGAGAAAGUGGAGCAAUCCACCAGUAAAGUGGCGCACGGGUGAGUAACACGUGACUAACCUACCCUUGAGUGGGGGAUAACCUAGGGAAACCUGGGCUAAUACCGCAUAAUACCUACGGGUCAAAGGAGCAAUUCGCUUAAGCGAGGGGGUCGCGGCCGAUUAGUUAGUUGGCGGGGUAAUGGCCCACCAAGACGAUGAUCGGUA
RNAcentral lists this ribosomal RNA (246 nucleotides) under uncultured bacterium. RNAcentral describes it as "partial small subunit ribosomal RNA". It matches the Rfam family "Bacterial small subunit ribosomal RNA", at positions 26 to 285 of the family's 1533-position model. The record is from RNAcentral.